Molecule: ribosomal RNA, 497 nt
Filed under: uncultured bacterium
Lineage: Bacteria
Description: partial 16S ribosomal RNA
Rfam family: Bacterial small subunit ribosomal RNA
Source: RNAcentral
GAUGAACGCUGGCGGCGUGCCUAAUACAUGCAAGUCGAGCGAACAGACGCGGAGCUUGCUCCUCUCACGUUAGCCGAACGCGUGUGUGUAACACGUGGAUAACCUACCUGUAAUACUGGGAUAACUUCGGGACACCGGAGCUAAUCCCGUAUAAUAUAUUGCACCGCGUGGUUCAAUGGUGAAAGACGGUUUUGCUGUAUGUUCUAGAUGGAUCCGCGCCGCAUUAGCUGGUUGGUAGGGUAACGGCUUACCAAGGCAACGAUGCGUAGCCGACGUGAGAGGGUGAUCGGCGACACUGGAGCGGAGACAGGGUCCAGACUCCUACGGGAGGGAGCAGAAGGGAAUCGUCCGCAAUGGGCGAAAGUCUUACGGAGCAACGCCGCGUGAGUGAUGAAGGCGUUGGGUGCGUAAAACUCGGUUAUGAGGUAUGAACAAAUUUGGAAGUAACUAUGGACGGCGUGACGGUACCUAAUCAGAAAGCAACGGCUAACUACGUG